AUCCAGCUGACGAGUCCUAAAUAGGAUGAAACGCACGUCCUGAAU
This 45-nucleotide non-coding RNA is filed under the name Schistosoma curassoni. The record is from RNAcentral. Lineage: Eukaryota; Metazoa; Platyhelminthes; Trematoda; Strigeidida; Schistosomatidae.